RNAcentral lists this long non-coding RNA (699 nucleotides) under Rattus norvegicus (Norway rat). RNAcentral describes it as "long non-coding RNA NONRATT007734". The record is from RNAcentral. Lineage: Eukaryota; Metazoa; Chordata; Mammalia; Rodentia; Muridae.
AGAGGAAAAGAACACAGACUUAGUGGAUGGACUAAAUUAAAAGCAAUGUGACUCUAGAGCUGUUCUGAGUUGGCCUACAUUUGACCCCUUUGGGAAAACUCACAUGGAAUUUGGACAGGCUAAAAUGGCAAAACCUUCUUAGCUCUGGCUCAACAAUGAUCUGCAGGCCAAAUAGGACACUAGAUUCCCCCAGGUUCCUUCUUUACCUGCCAAAGUCCUUUUUUCCGAAGGUGUGGGGGAGGGAGGGUGUUCAAAUCUAUCAAAGCAAACAGGAUUGACCUACUGAGAUCCAACUUCGUCUGUGCUGUGUCACUGUACAGGCUAGAGAAAAAGCAAAUUGUGUCCUGGGAAGGAGGCCAAUUUCUAAGUACUGUGACUACAAAGAAUGUGACAUUCUUAAAGUGAAGGCAGUUUGGAUAAACUGGAGCUCACAGAAUCCUCCAACUAUCCUUGCCAUUGGUUUCUGUGAUUUUAUUUUUAAAGAAAAAUUGGCGGGGUGUGGGGCGCACGCCUCUCUAACCCAACAGCACUCAGGAAAGAGGUGGAUCCCUCUGAGUUCCAGGCUGGCCAAGGCUACAGAGAAAAGAAAAAUUGAUUCGAAAAAGCCACGCGGAAGCGUCCUUAGGCUCCUGGCAAACACACAAUCUUAAAUGCAAACGGAAAUACUAGAACACUCCAUUUAAAAAAAAAAAAAAAAAA